This 263-nucleotide long non-coding RNA is filed under the name Bos taurus (domestic cattle). RNAcentral describes it as "long non-coding RNA NONBTAT001714". Lineage: Eukaryota; Metazoa; Chordata; Mammalia; Artiodactyla; Bovidae. The record is from RNAcentral.
AGUGUACAGAAAAUGCACUAUUUAAUACUCAUUAAAUGCAGUACAAUCAAUGAAGAUUAUCAAAUAAGAAACACACACAGCAUUCUAAAUUUUUAAAUCAUCUUAGGGCUGCUAUAUCAGGGAUUGUACAAAUUGUAUCUAGGAGUGACUCCCGACAUUAAAGCCACAUUAGAGCAAGAAUUAGCCAAUUCAAUGUUUAAUGAAACAGAUCACCUUUUUUCUUUGUAAAAGCACUGAAAAUGUAAUGUGUGCUGAUAACUCAC